AGAGUUUGAUCAUGGCUCAGAGCGAACGCUGGCGGCAGGCUUAACACAUGCAAGUCGAGCGGGUGUAGCAAUACAUCAGCGGCAGACGGGUGAGUAACGCGUGGGAACAUACCUUUUGGUUCGGAACAACCCAGGGAAACUUGGGCUAAUACCGGAUAAGCCCUUACGGGGAAAGAUUUAUCGCCGAAAGAUUGGCCCGCGUCUGAUUAGCUAGUUGGUGAGGUAAUGGCUCACCAAGGCGACGAUCAGUAGCUGGUCUGAGAGGAUGAUCAGCCACAUUGGGACUGAGACACGGCCCAAACUCCUACGGGAGGCAGCAGUGGGGAAUAUUGGACAAUGGGGGCAACCCUGAUCCAGCCAUGCCGCGUGAGUGAUGAAGGCCCUAGGGUUGUAAAGCUCUUUUGUGCGGGAAGAUAAUGACGGUACCGCAAGAAUAAGCCCCGGCUAACUUCGUGCCAGCAGCCGCGGUAAUACGAAGGGGGCUAGCGUUGCUCGGAAUCACUGGGCGUAAAGGGUGCGUAGGCGGGUCUUUAAGUCAGGGGUGAAAUCCUGGAGCUCAACUCCAGAACUGCCUUUGAUACUGAAGAUCUUGAGUCCGGAAGAGGUGAGUGGAAUUGCGAGUGUAGAGGUGAAAUUCGUAGAUAUUCGCAAGAACACCAGUGGCGAAGGCGGCUCACUGGUCCGGAACUGACGCUGAGGUGCGAAAGCGUGGGUAGCAAACAGGAUUAGAUACCCUAGUAGUCC
RNAcentral lists this ribosomal RNA (744 nucleotides) under uncultured bacterium. Its description in RNAcentral is "bacterial SSU rRNA". It matches the Rfam family "Bacterial small subunit ribosomal RNA", at positions 8 to 796 of the family's 1533-position model. The record is from RNAcentral.